Molecule: ribosomal RNA, 763 nt
Filed under: Ophiocordyceps araracuarensis
Lineage: Eukaryota; Fungi; Ascomycota; Sordariomycetes; Hypocreales; Ophiocordycipitaceae
Description: eukaryotic LSU rRNA
Rfam family: Eukaryotic large subunit ribosomal RNA
Source: RNAcentral
GCUCAAAUUUGAAAUCUGGCCCCCCCCGCGGGGGCCCGAGUUGUAAUUUGCAGAGGAUGCUUCUGGCGCGGCGCCUUCCGAGUUCCCUGGAACGGGACGCCACAGAGGGUGAGAGCCCCGUCUGGCGGCCGCCAAGCCUCUGUGAAGCUCCUUCGACGAGUCGAGUAGUUUGGGAAUGCUGCUCAAAAUGGGAGGUAUAUGUCUUCUAAAGCUAAAUACCGGCCAGAGACCGAUAGCGCACAAGUAGAGUGAUCGAAAGAUGAAAAGCACUUUGAAAAGAGGGUUAAACAGUACGUGAAAUUGUUGAAAGGGAAGCGCUCGCGACCAGACUCGGGCCCGGCGGAUCAUCCGGCGUCCUCGCCGGUGCACUCCGCCGGGCCCCCGGGCCAGCAUCGGCUCGCAGCGGGGGAUAAAGGCGGCGGGAACGUGGCCCCUCCGGGGGUGUUAUAGCCCGCCGCGCAAUGCCCCGCGUCGCGGGCCGACCGCGCCCCUGGCAAGGAUGCUGGCGUAAUGGUCGCCAGCGACCCGUCUUGAAACACGGACCAAGGAGUCGUCUUCGUAUGCGAGUGUUCGGGUGUCAAACCCCUACGCGUAAUGAAAGUGAACGUAGGUGAGAGCCCUCGCGGGCGCAUCACCGACCGAUCCUGAUGUUCUCGGAUGGAUUUGAGUAAGAGCAUACGGGGCCGGACCCGAAAGAAGGUGAACUAUGCCUGUGUAGGGUGAAGCCAGAGGAAACUCUGGUGGAGGCUCGCAGCGGUUCUGA